Molecule: long non-coding RNA, 462 nt
Organism: Solanum tuberosum (potato)
Lineage: Eukaryota; Viridiplantae; Streptophyta; Magnoliopsida; Solanales; Solanaceae
Exons: 2
Source: RefSeq, a predicted model, not a curated record
AAAGUUCGUAUCAAUUGCAUUGAAAAUUGUACUACACCAUUUGAGUCUAAUUCACUAGAAAAUAAACACCUAUACUACACGUGUCCUUCUACCUUUUUCCAGUUUUCAAUUAUUUUGCUUUGGUUCUUUCUUUCUUCUACUUUUUCUAUUUUUUAUUCUCCUCAUUCACACAAUUGUCGGAGAAGGAGAAGAAGAACUUACAGAUGGAGGAAGAGCAAUUGAUGGAAAAUUAGAGAAGAGUGAUUCGAUUCCGAAUUGAUGCAUUAAUUUGGUGAUGAAAUUAAAUUUCAUAUUUCACUAACGAAAUUGGAGAUCAAAUUGCAUACUGUUUUUGAUGUGAUAAUGAGGCAAACACAUGCUUUAAAGUUAUAUGAAGACAUAGACUUCAACAAAAGCUCUUCUCGCAAUUCUCAAAAUUUUGUAUCUCAAUCUCUUAUCGUGGUUAGAUUUUCUUAUUUUUGG